CUUUUAUACAUAGUUUGCUUACAUUAGCCAUGGUAUAUGCCAUUACAGUACAGACUAUAAGAUUUAUUACUUCCUUGUAUUACGUUAUUCUGACAAUGGAAAGAUAAGCUUUUGCAUACGUCUGGAAAAGAAUAUCCUUAAAAUCGGAAUGGGCAAGACAUCCUGAAAUUUAGCAUUGUCUUACAUCCUAUAGAAGAAAUACCUUAGUCUGUCACAGUCAACAUAUGAUUGUCGUAUAUUGAGUUUAAGUAUUCAAUAUUCCUUCAGUCAGCAAUAAUCAUGUUAUAAACCUUAUAAAAGCAUAAAAUACAUAUAAACAAGUUAACUAUUUAAUAUUCUUACAUUCCCCUCUUUGAGCAAUAAAACAAUUGCUCAUCUUAUCGAUAAAAUCUUACCAGGACAGAGAAACCUCCACAUGGUAUUUUCAGGGGUGCUAGUCACUCCCUGCGGGACUUUCAUUAAUUUCUUCACCUCGAUUCCCAUGUGGUAAUUCCUAAGGCCCAGUUUAAAGAUGGGUUGAUACUCUACAGUGGCAGAGAGGAGAAUUUCUAAUUGUUUCUGUUCUGCAUUAUGGAUUCAUUUCUGUACUCACUUCCUCAAUGUACAAGUAAGGUGACAGUUAUAUAAAAUCAUACACAAUAAAAUCAGGACUAUAAUAACAAAAGGAUAGAAGAAUGAUUUCAUUAUCUGAGAUCCAGUAGGGGACCAACCAGUGAAGCAUCGUACCAAUUAUGGGCUGAAUCAUUCUGAAUUUGUGAACUCACCUUAAGGAGUUCUCCUUUUAGGAUAUGUGUGGCUACCUGUGUGUGUUAUCUUUGGGAAAAAUAUAGUCCCCUGUGUAUGUGGGUGCCCACCAGGUUAAAUUCUUGGCAAAAAGAUCAUAAACUGGUACUGGUAAUGUGUUAAAUUGACAAGCUAAUUUAACAUCCUUUGAUGAUGUAUGAUAUAAUGUAAAAUAGCAAGAGCAUGAAAAAUGUGAAACAUUACCAGUUAACCAUCCAUUGCAUUUACUGGAUUGGGGUUUUAGAAGUAACCAUUCAUUAUCUGUGAGGUUACGCAUUUCCUCUAAUCUUCUCUAGUUUAGGAAUCAUUAGUGUGUUUUCUAAUGCCAAUCCUUGUUGUUGUAUCCAUAAAUACCUGAUGGCACAAGUACUCCAGUUACUUAGACCUCUAGUGAAUUUCAUAGUUGCAACAGUUAAAUUAUCUAAAUAAUUAUACAUUGAUUUAUCUAAAUCCAAUCCUAUAACCUGUGAUUUAACAACAAUUGGAGCCCAAUUUGCAGUAGCAUGAAAACCAGUCCCUAUAUGCAUGCUGGCUGUGUUUAACUUAUUCUUGAGGGUCUCCAUAUCUAUAACUAUUUAGUAUACCCAUAGUGGUUCCAGCACCAUCUAACAGUGUGUCAUACCAUUCCCUUUUCUGCCUUUGUUUGUUGUAUUACAUAAUGUUACAACAAGAGUAGUGACUUUUAAUGACACAUGUACAGCUUGUAAGAAGGCAGUUGUAUUAACACAUGUGGACGGAAUAGGUGUGUGUGUGUGUCGUGUUUGACUUUUGGUUCUAUGAUAGUGGAUGAAGGACAGUAAUAAGGUGUAAAAAUAUAAGGUAGUGUAUAGUUCUCAAUUGCAGUGUCGUUCAUAAUGACUAACAUUUGUCCCCUUUUCCAAUUAAUGAUACCAGUUAUAUAAUCAUUAUUAAAAGUAAUAAGGCCUGUCUGUUUACAUUGAUAUGCAACCUUAACUGUGCACAUUUCUGCGUUAUAAGAUCUAACAAUUUUCUGUGAACCUUUAAACAAACAUAAUGCAUCGGUUUCAUUAGCUGUAGACACAUUUCAUAUGGGUAACUGGUACUUAUAAGGGUUACUAUUUGUCCAAUUCAUCCAAAUGCGUUCAUUGAAUGAAUGAUUGCAUAUUGCAUGCUGAUAGAAAGGUGGUGGAGAAAGGUUCUUGAGGGGGCGUGUGUGACGAAUGCUAGAUGAGGGGCUAAGGCCUAAUUGGGCUGGGGGUAUUGAAGAAUUGUUCAUCAUGUCAGAGUCUUUUUCCAGAACUUGCCAUUGACUUGUACUCAUAAUGGCAUUCAAGGAACAAUAUCAGAGGGAGUAUAACAACUCCAGAAAGCAUAGCGCACAACAUAAUCUUGGUCUCAGGUACGUAUGAUCCUCUCAAUCUACGAUAUGGUGUAAAAGCCAUGAUGCUUCGCUGAGGAGAAAUUCUUCUGUUUCCGAGCGAGGAGUGGUGUUGUCUUCCUUGGUUCCCCUCUUUGGACACAGCUUCACUCGGGAUGCGUGAAUCCAGAUGUCGUGGGAAUCUGUGAGGACAGCGGUUCUGGGUACAGCAAUCACAGUAGCAGGUGGUCCAAAAGGGUAUCCUCCUUUCUUGGUCCUGUUCAACUGACGGAUAUACACCUUGUCACCGGGCUGGUAUGAAUGAGUAGGUUCCUGUGAAGGUAAGGGAAAACUGCGAAGAAACAUUGUCAUACAUACCAUUCGGUUUUAUCAACAAUUCCUGUACAUAUUGUUCUUGUAUUAGCUUUAAAUCCCCAGACAUUAUAACAAGCAGUUCCCUGGCCCAGGGUGUGGGAAAAGGUCAUCCCAUCAAAAUCUCAAAUGGAGAUAAUUUAGUCACCUUGUGGGGAUUCAUUCUUAUCUCAGCUAAAAUAGCUGGUAGAUAUCUAGUCCAAUUUACCCAUGUUCCUGGGUAAAUUCUGGGCUUUUCCUUAAUAGUCCUAUUCAUCCUUUCAACUACCCCUGUAUUCUGUGGAUGAUAGGGUAUAUGAAACUGCCAGGUAACUUGCAAGAAUUUAGCAAGUUCCUGGGCAACCCUACUGGCAAAAACCGGGCCAUUAUCAGAGCCAAUCUGCAGAGGGCAGCCAUACCUGGGAAUAAUUUCAGUAACAAUAAUCUUCACUAGCAUCUUCCCUAGAUGUCACAAAGGCCUCAUGCCAUCUACUAAACUGAUCAACUAUGACCAGUAAGUAUUGCUGUUUCUUACCAAUUUUGGAUACAUGAAUAAAAUCAA
This is a non-coding RNA of Pelobates cultripes (western spadefoot toad), 3014 nucleotides long. The record is from the annotation of a GenBank genome assembly. NCBI's taxonomy places the organism in Eukaryota, Metazoa, Chordata, Amphibia, Anura, Pelobatidae.